This is a long non-coding RNA of Pseudopipra pipra, 4334 nucleotides long. RefSeq lists it as uncharacterized. The transcript is spliced from 2 exons. NCBI's taxonomy places the organism in Eukaryota, Metazoa, Chordata, Aves, Passeriformes, Pipridae. The record is from RefSeq and is a predicted model, not a curated record.
UCCGCGGGCAACCCCGCGCCGCGCUCGGCUCCCGCCGCCAUCUUGCAGCGAGCGGGGGGAGCGCGGGGCCGGAGCCGCCCUCGCCCUGCCCCGCCCGGGGAGCCUGAGGAAGCCCCCGCCGCCCACCCCGGCAGGGCCGGCCCGACCCCCGCCGGGGCCGCGGGGCCCCCUGAGGAGGGAGCGACGCGGGGCAGCGGGGGGAGGCUCCAGGCGAGCUUGGCGCUGUCUGUAACGGAGCUCCCGGGGGUGUAUGCGGAUAAACGGGAAUUUCACAGAAGCACAGGAUGCGUCAGGUUGAAAGUGACCACAGUGACUCGUCUGGUCCCACCUCCCUGCUCCAGCAGGGUCAUCCCAGAGCACAUGGCACAGGACUGUGUCCAGAGGGUUCUGGAAUAUCUCCACUAAGGGAGACUCCACACCCUCUCUGGACUGUUUGUUCAGUGCUCAGUCACUGCACAGCAAAGAAGUUCUUCCUCAUGUCCAGGUGGAACUUCCUGGGCAUCAGUUCCUGCCCCUCGUCCUGUUGCUGGGCACCGCCGAGCAGAGCCUGGUCCAUCUUCUGAUACCUCCCUUUAGAUAUUUAUACACAUUAAUGAGGUCCCCUCUCAGUGGCUGCUCUCGAGGCUGAGCAGCCCCAGCUCCCUCAGCCUUUCCUCGUCACAGACAUGCUCCAGUCCCUUCAUCUCUGUAGCCUCCACUGGAUCUGCUCCAGGAGCUCCACAUCCCCACUGUCCUGAGUAGCCCAGAACUGGACACAGCACUCCAGAUGUGCCUCACAGCACUGAGCAGAGGGCAGGAUCACCUCCCUGACCUGCUGGCAAUGCUCUUCCUAAUGCACUCCAGGAUUCUGUUGCCCUGCUUGGCCCCCAGGACACACUGCUGGCUCAGGGGCAGCUGGUUGUCCACCAGGACCUUCUCUUCAUUCCACCCCCACAGUAACACAUCUUCACAUGGAUUUUAGGGAGCAACUCGAGUGCUCUGGAGGAAUGUUGAGGCUCUGUUAUGAGAGGAAUUGCCCUAAGAUCCAUCCUGAUGGAGGCCAAGACCAGGGCACUGUCCCUCUCCUUCACUGAGGCUCGAUCUGGGUCACCUCACCCAGCAGGAAUCAUUCCCCAAAUCCCCAUCACUGACACCUUCCUUAGGUGGUUGACAUUCCACAAGUCAAUAAAGGAAUUGCCUGCACUAAAAGGCAGCUACAAAGUGCUGUGUGAAGAGAGCAGGAAAUAUCCAGGAUAUUCCCACUGUCCAUGGAGGUAACUCAUGAAGAUGGAGAAGGAGGUGAGCCACCACCACCUCAUGGCACCCAAAAUCAGGCACCAAUACCCAAGUGGCCUGAGGAAAUAUUCCCUCUUGAACCCAAAUAUCAGCCCUGUUUUGACCUGCACUACCCUCAAGUAGCUACCUGAAUAUAAGAACAAUCAAAAUUAGGAAACCAUAAAGUAAAAUACUUUAUACACAAUUAAAUACUUUAUACACAAUUAAAUUGGUAAGGUUAAAGAGUCCUUGCUAACCCAUGCUGUGAGAACUGACACAGGUUAGGGAACCUCUCACAUACACCCAUGUGCUGCUACACCUGCAGGAGUGGGAAACACCUUCAGGAAGAUGCUGAGAUGGUGGGACUCAGGAUGAAAUGCAGGUCUCCAAAAAAAAGAGCUGUACCUGGAGAGAGCAAAAGCAAAAAAGCACUAUUGAAAAAAUAGCAGAACACUCCAGCAGAACAGCAAAUGUAACUUUAGUUGUGCUACUGACCUGAUGCUGUUACACAGAUAAGCCACUUUGUAGUAAUUUAAUUUAAUUUAAUUCAAUUCACUAAAUUCCUUGUUAAUUAACCACAGCAGUUGCUCUUGUAGCUCUUCUAAGCUAAAGAUUAAUUUCCUCCUGCUUCUGCAGCCUUGAAGUCAUAAAAGCCGUUUAUAUAUAUAUAUAAAUUUUUAUGGAAUGAGUAUGUUAGAAUUGUGUCACAAAUGUUCUUUUGGAAUUAAAGGUGCAGUCAGGCAUCAUUGUCCAGGUUGGUCUAGUGGAAGAUGUUCCUGCCCGUGGCAGGGGGUGGAACGAGAUGAGCUUUAAGGACCCUCCCAACUCAAACCAGUCUGGGAUUCUAUGAUUCUGUCUUCAAAAGUACAAACAAGUUCAGAUCUGUACAGAUAAAAUAAAAGCCAAAAAUUGAGAACAUCUGCUGGAUCUAAGACCCAGCCUGAUGUUCCCAUGUAUUUGAGAUACAGGGAAUGUAUCUGUGGGCUCUUUAGGUAAGUGAUUGCUUAUAUGAAAGAGAAAUUAAACAAUUUCAUAUAAUCUGAAACCACAUGGAUUGGUGUUUCCUGCAGUGAGGGUGUGGAAUCCAUCAGUUGCUGUAUAUUCCAUAAAAAUCAUGGAUUACCAGCACCACUUCAUGUCAACAAAACAUAAACAAUCCCAUUCUCUUUAUACUGUGCCCACUGUUUCCUGCUCCAGCUGCUCCUUUUGUUUCAUAAAGACACUGAAAUUUUGAACCCAACAGAUGUAGAUUCAGUUGUCAACACCAGUAAUUAGUUGGGUGAUGAUCCUCCAGAUGCUCAGUCAUCUCACAAAUGCAUACACCAGAGGUGCCAAAACAAGUUCCUUUGCCCAUUUUCCCAACAAAUUUCAAUACAUUUGACAUCUCAGUGCACCAUUCCAUAGUGCAGUAACAUGCCCAAACAUGGGAUGCUUCUUUACUCCUGCGGUUUUCCUCCAUACAAAAACACUUCAAGUGACUGUGCCCAGAGCCAAACAUUUUCUUUUAAAGUGGAACCUGACAGCUUUUAAUUCGCCAUAACACUGCUCCUAAGUGUUAGGAAUGAUGGAUUAUCUCAGGAACAGCCUGGUUGGGAACUUCUUCUCAGGUUCCAUCCUGUAACUCAGUGGUCUGUGAGUAAAUAAUAAAGAGAUGGAGGAGGUAAGAGCUAUAACUUGCAAAGUGAGUAACUAUUCCAAGGAAAUCAUUACACUGGGCCAUACUGUAAUGGGCUAUUUUGGGACUCGUGGUCUUUGCAGUACAAUUUAUGACCUUUGUUGCCUAAGGCAUCAUUAGCAAAUCUCUGUGGUUGUAUUUAAAGGCAGCAAAAUGAGAGUAAAUAUUAAAACAAACCACCACAAAUCGAAGCCAAAUUCUUGAAUAACAACUGAGAACAAAGGAAAAGGAGAUCAAACAAAUAUUUUAAGUACAGUUCUCUUCAAUGAAUGGCCUAAGGGAACCUCUGGGUUCUUUCUCCUAAAUCAAUGCCCUCCCUGCUUUAAAUCACCAUUCCUCCCUCAUAGGCUUUAUUUUUCUUCAUUCAACUUCAAAUUUAGUCAUAACUUAUUGGCACAAAGUGCACUUUGGCAAUUUUGCUAUUUCAAAAAAAUUAAAAUGUUCCUUGGAUUUCUGGCAAAAGCAAGUACAGCCCCACAUUCCUACCCAAAGUAUUUUUAUUGGCCAGCCCAAUAAUGUGCUGCAAAGGGUAGUUUCAAACCAUUCUGUCUCAGAUUCCCUAAGAGGGCCAGUUUUCUAGGAAAUGGAAACUGAUAGUGAUAGUUCACAGGGAGUUGUAAAAUCAUUUCACAUUAAAAUAUAGGGAAAUUAUAAUAAUGGGUUAAAGCAUUCCUUAGGGUAAAUAAAUACAUCUCAAUUACUAUCUCAUUUACAACUCCUUGGAUCUGGCUAAUUAUAAACUUGGAGAAAAUUUGCUGUGAAAACUGAGUAGCUGGGAUGUCCUGGGAGUGUGCAGCAAUUAAUUUGGAUAAGAUAAACCAGUACAUGAUUUAUCCCUGCCAGCAGAGGUUGGAAUUUCAAACACCCCCACAAUAUUUUGUCCUUAAAAACGCUCUAACUUAUUAAAUACGGAAAAACUUGUUAAAUAUGGAAAACUGGCCUAAAGGAGGGAAUGCAAGUGAAACCUUCCCAAAAAAUAUAUGAGAUUUUCAAAUGUUCUGCCCUUCAGUUAUAAAAAGGUUUCCAUAGAGACUGUCAUCCAAUAUGCCUUUUUGCCAUAAACACACUCACUGAAGUGUCUGACUUCUCCAUGUUCAUGGGAGCAAAAUAAAUCCAUCCCCUUCCUGUUUUCCAGGUUCCCUGGCUGAGGUUACGGCAGCAACCCAUUUUGCCUUGUUUUUGGAGAUUUCCUUGGUUCUGCUGCAAUGGAAAUAAACACACUUAACGAGGUUAUUAUUAUUUGCAGCUAUUAGAUAAUGCUGUUUAAUUACUCAACCCUUAAUCUCACCCAGUUGCAUGUGAUUUGCAUACAUUAUGCCAAGAGAAUUGAUAUUGGGAGCAAAGGAAUCAAAGUGUCAGAAUGCUGGAAAAGUGAAAAUAAGUGUAUUAAAACUAUUUGACUGCA